This 805-nucleotide ribosomal RNA is filed under the name Bursaphelenchus sp. 1 GVDU-2019. RNAcentral's name for it is "SSU rRNA". It matches the Rfam family "Eukaryotic small subunit ribosomal RNA", at positions 101 to 929 of the family's 1831-position model. Lineage: Eukaryota; Metazoa; Nematoda; Chromadorea; Rhabditida; Aphelenchoididae. The record is from RNAcentral.
UUACAACAGAUAUAAUUUACUAGUUCUUUAACCUAUAUGGAUAACUGCGGUAAUUCUGGAGCCAAUACAUGCAUCAAUCCUCAGCCUUCGGGUUUGGGGUGCAGUUAUUGGAGCAAAACCAGUCUCGUACUGUUUGCUAACUCAGAAUAAUUCUGCAUAUCGCAUGGUCUUGUACCGGCGAAGUUUCUUUCAAGUAUCUGCUUUAUCAACUAUCGUUGGUAGUUUAUUGGGCUACCAUGGUGUUGACGGGUAACGGAGAAUCAGGGUUUGACUCCGGAGAGGGAGCCUUAGAAACGGCUACCAUGUCUAAGGAUAGCAGCAGGCGCGAAAAUUACCCAAUAUCAAAACGAUGAGGUAGUGACGAGAAAUAACGAGAUCGUUCUCUUUGAGAUCGAUUAUUGGAAUGAGUACAAUCCAGAAAUUUUAACGAGUACCUACGAGAGGGCAAGUCUGGUGCCAGCAGCCGCGGUAAUUCCAGCUCUCGUAAUGUAUAGAAUUAUUGUUGCGAUUAAAAAGUUCGUAGUUGGAUUGCAACGCAGGCAUGGGUCCAUCUUCGUGAUGCGUACUCAAUGUUUGCAUUUUGUAGGUUUUUGCGGCGUUGAUUCGUCAGCGUCCGUGAUGCCUGCAGGAUUACUUUGAACGGCUCAAGUGCUUAAAGCAAGUCUUAUGACUGAAUACCGGUGCAUGGAAUAAUGGAACAAGGUUGUGGCUGAGUUUUAUUGGUUUUGUCGGCUGAAACAAUGGUUAACAGGAACAGCCGGGGGCAUUCGUAUCGCUGCGCGAGAGGUGAAAUUCGUGGACCGUA